This 64-nucleotide transfer RNA is filed under the name Prosaspicera validispina. RNAcentral describes it as "tRNA-Pro". Lineage: Eukaryota; Metazoa; Arthropoda; Insecta; Hymenoptera; Figitidae. The record is from RNAcentral.
CAAAAAAUAGUUUAAAUAAAACAUUAAUUUUGGAGAUUAAAAUUAUAAAAUUUUAUUUUUUUGA